CCCCUCCUCCCCAUCUCCUCGCCGCCGCCAUCGACGGCGCUCCCCUCGAUCCCUCCCACCGUCGUCUCCCUCCCUCAGAUCGAGCUCCCCCUCCCCUCUCCCUCCCACCUCUCGAAGCUCCCGCGUCCCACUGCCGUGCACCGUGCUCCUCUCGCUGCGCCCCGUGCAGCCGUCGACGCGCGUGACGAGAAGGAUUCUCGCGCCGCCUCUGCUUCCGCAGGGGCGCCUCGCCGUCGGCUGCCGCGCGAGCGCGCUUGCCUCAUCGCCGUUGUUGCCUCGCGCGUGCCCCGUCUUCGCGUGCCACGCCGCCACUGCCUUCCAGAAGCUCGACGCCGUCGGUGAGUCCCCCUUCUUUGUGGUCUCCCUGCUUUGGAACCUUGCAGUGCUGAUUAGUUGUGGCUUUGCGCGAUUGACUGAAUGACUGAAUGUUGGUCGUCUGUCGCACGCGCGGGCAUCGGUGCGGGAGGAGGAGGAUGCCUUCAGGUCGGCGGCUGCGGUUGCGGCGGGGAACACGCUGCUGCCCCUCCAGCGCUGCAUCUUCUCCAACCACCUCACGCCGGUGCUGGCUCGUCCGGGAGGACGACCGCUAGGCGCCCAGCUUCCUCUUCGAGUCUGUCGAGCACGCCUCCGAGGGCACCAAUGUGGGGAUUAAUCCAGAUCCUCGGGGUCAUCGGUGGUGGCAGCCCUCCCCAGCUGCACCGGCUCGUCGAAGGACGCGAUGAGCGGAUGCAGAGAUGCACCACACGUCCGACUACUUGAAGAUAGAAUCUGGACGCCCUUCCCUGGUCGACGACACCCUUCCCUGGUCGAUCAUCAAGGUGGCGGCGCGGACGGCGAUCGGGUUCGUCGUCAUGGGGUUCGUCGGCUUCUUCGUCAAGCUCAUCUUCAUCCCCAUCAACAACAUCAUCGUCGGCUCCGGCUAGAUGGCAAGCACCAUUUUGUUGGUUCCUGUCUUGCCAAUGUCUACAGCAAUGUGUGCGUCCUUUGUCUCAUCUGUGGCAUUACCGUAGGGAAACUCAUAAUGGGCCUAUCAAGCAUACUGACCUUGUGAUGAUAGAUAAAGAGGGCGAUGGUUGAAGGCAUGAUGAUAGUUCUAUUGUUGUCCUAGUGUAGCGAAGGUAGCCUAGUCAACUAUGGUCGCGUAGUUAGUCAUGCAUACAGUUUCAUCUGACUGGAGCAGGAGCCCAGUUUGUGCUGAUUGUCAAUUCUCAUUGUGAUUGUCCCUAUAUCUGUGUGACCGAUUGUAUUUGUAUCUGUGUUGUAACUGUGUCAUGACAGAAGGAGCCCAGUAUAUCUGUAUGACUGAUAUAACUGAUUGAUUCUCGUUGUUGUUAUUUGAAAUGUUACUUGUGUUUUUUGUCUAUUCUUA
Molecule: long non-coding RNA, 1369 nt
Organism: Triticum aestivum (bread wheat)
Lineage: Eukaryota; Viridiplantae; Streptophyta; Magnoliopsida; Poales; Poaceae
Exons: 5
Source: RefSeq, a predicted model, not a curated record